GGAACCAAUGCAGGAACAAGCAUGAAAUAGAACAGAGAAUAUAGAACUAAUACAAUCUACCAACAAUUAACGCAUGGUUACAUACAGCUUUAAAGCAUCUUCACGUUGUUCAUUUUGAAUAUAGACUGACAACAUUGAGUUCCAUGUCACAGGAUUUUUCUCCCCUUUUGUUCUCUCAAAAAUCACCAAAGCCUCAUCAAUCUCACCGUUCCUUGAGUAUAAUGUAAUCAUAGUAUUUGAAGAAAUGAUAGUUUUCCGAGGCAUUUUCUCAAACAACCUCCUUUAAUCCUCAAUUCAGCCGCUCGACCAUCAAAUUACACUAAACCGAAUUUUUCUGAGUCACUCCAUUGAAAAUCAGUUAAGCAUCUUCAAUCCUACCCAUCAAUAUAUAGCCCACAAUUAGGGAAUUUGAAGCACUAAACGGGUUAGCUACUCCAUCAUAAACUCUUUUAGCUUCAGCCUCAGCCUCAGCCUCACAAUUACAAUAAAACUGAAUUAGAGCGCCACCAAUUGACUGGUCAAAUUAAUUCACAUUUUAUCAAAAUCCCAUGAACAACCAUCACUUCUCUUAAGGCUCCAAGCUUCGUAGCUUACUGCAAAACCCUGUAACACAAUCAAAGAUGAACUCGUUAGGUACCAUCUGGCCACUCCUUCUCAUCCAUCGAAACAAGUCCAAGGCCUUUUCACAACAAUCCCCACUCUUGCAUACCCCAAAAUUAGCUUAGUCCACGAAACAGCAUUGAUAUGGCCUGCCCAAAAUACGGAGUGAACUCGGUGAAAAGGUCAAACAGCCCCUUGACUCGAUCAAAUGGUCAAAGUGAAAGAUGACUUGAUCAACAUUACUGAACAGUAGCUCAGACAAGCACAACAAUCCACAUUGCUCGAAUAGCUCUGAGUGAUAGC
Molecule: unclassified non-coding RNA, 903 nt
Filed under: Hevea brasiliensis (rubber tree)
Lineage: Eukaryota; Viridiplantae; Streptophyta; Magnoliopsida; Malpighiales; Euphorbiaceae
Source: RNAcentral